Molecule: transfer RNA, 73 nt
Filed under: Ictidomys tridecemlineatus (thirteen-lined ground squirrel)
Lineage: Eukaryota; Metazoa; Chordata; Mammalia; Rodentia; Sciuridae
Description: Spermophilus tridecemlineatus (thirteen-lined ground squirrel) tRNA
Rfam family: tRNA
About the family: Transfer RNA (tRNA) molecules are approximately 80 nucleotides in length. Their secondary structure includes four short double-helical elements and three loops (D, anti-codon, and T loops).
Source: Rfam by way of RNAcentral
GGGGAUAUAGCUCAGUUGGUUGAGCGCUUUCUUAGCAUGCACAAGACCCUGGGUUCAAUCCCUAGUACCACCU